AGAAACCAACAGGGAUUACCUCAGUAACGGCGAGUGAAGCGGUAACAGCUCAAAUUUGAAAUCUGGCUCUUUCAGGGUCCGAGUUGUAAUUUGUAGAAGAUGCUUUGGGUGUGGCACCGGUCUAAGUUCCUUGGAACAGGACGUCAUAGAGGGUGAGAAUCCCGUAUGUGACUGGUUGCUUUCGCCCGUGUAAAGCUCUUUCGACGAGUCGAGUUGUUUGGGAAUGCAGCUCAAAAUGGGUGGUAAAUUUCAUCUAAAGCUAAAUAUUGGCCAGAGACCGAUAGCGCACAAGUAGAGUGAUCGAAAGAUGAAAAGCACUUUGGAAAGAGAGUUAAACAGUACGUGAAAUUGUUGAAAGGGAAGCGCUUGCAACCAGACUCGCAUUCCGUCGAUCAUCCGGAGUUCUCUCCGGUGCACUCGGCGGUAUUCGGGCCAGCAUCGGUUUGGGUGGUGGGAUAAAGGCCUUGGGAAUGUAGCUCCUUUCGGGGAGUGUUAUAGCCCUCGGUGCAAUGCCGCCUACCUGGACCGAGGACCGCGCUUCGGCUAGGAUGCUGGCGUAAUGGUUGUAAGCGACCCGUCUUGAAACACGGACCAAGGAGUCUAACAUCUAUGCGAGUAUUUGGGUGUUAAACCCAUAUGCGUAAUGAAAGUGAACGGAGGUGAGAACCCUUAAGGGUGCAUCAUCGACCGAUCCUGAUGUCUUCGGAUGGAUUUGAGUAAGAGCAUAGCUGUUGGGACCCGAAAGAUGGUGAACUAUGCCUAAAUAGGGUGAAGCCAGAGGAAACUCUGGUGGAGGCUCGCAGCGGUUCUGACGUGCAAAUCGAUCGUCAAAUUUGGGUAUAGGGGCGAAAGACUAAUCGAACCAUUCRGAUGCUAGGUGGUKAAGGUUAUAUYCUAACAGAUACGGAUAUAUUCAGUCUUACUUGCGUGAGGCGACAUUAUCAAAUUGUUCGGGGACAUCCUGUCAAGUUAAGCUACCGCUAUUAGUACUGAAAAGUCUAUUAGCACCCGGUUAAUGGCCGAGGGUAUGGUAAAAACGCUUAAAUAGGGACAAUCCGCAGCUAAGCUCUAAGGGCAAUAUCAGCCUAUGAGYAGGGUUCAGAGACUAAAUGGUAGUGGGCCCUUAUUGGGUUUAAGUUAUAGUCCAUCCUCUGAGAGAUCAAAGCCAGUGGGAUGACCCUAUGAAUGCAAGUGGUGGGUUUAUUAGGUUAAACCCAUUAUUAAAUAGGGGCAAUUUCCCUGGGAAAUWACAGCCCCCGUGCUUKGUAUUUGGGUAAWGCUAAUACUGGUCCGCMCCAAAUUUCCC
Molecule: ribosomal RNA, 1306 nt
Filed under: Capitotricha attenuans
Lineage: Eukaryota; Fungi; Ascomycota; Leotiomycetes; Helotiales; Lachnaceae
Description: Capitotricha sp. HOB-2020a partial large subunit ribosomal RNA
Source: RNAcentral